This is a long non-coding RNA of Empidonax traillii (willow flycatcher), 410 nucleotides long. RefSeq lists it as uncharacterized. Lineage: Eukaryota; Metazoa; Chordata; Aves; Passeriformes; Tyrannidae. The record is from RefSeq and is a predicted model, not a curated record. The transcript is spliced from 3 exons.
GUCACCUGGCUUAAGUUAGAAAUACAAGACUAAUCAGGAAAAUUAAUCACAGACAGUUUGAGAAUCAUCCCAUCUGUUGCCCACCUGAACCAAGAAUCAAAUCCUAGAGUAGGACUGUGCUUACUGCUUGGUUGGAGAUCUACUGGGAUCUUAGUAUUGGGAGAGACCCAACAGGUCAUGAUUCCUGGGCAGAUGCUUAUUCCUAUCUCUGGCUGCUGACCCUUGGUUUGACUUUCUGGUUCCUGAAUUUUGGCCAUAAGCAUUCGGCUCCUUUCCCAGCUCUGGACACAGGCCCUAACCUUUGGGCUGAAUAGCCUGGGCUCCAGUCUGUAAUCCUAGAUGGGUACCAGGUCAUCCGUAGUAGACUGUACUCUAAUUUAUUCAAUAACAAAUGAAGUCUAACAGAUAAG